Molecule: ribosomal RNA, 378 nt
Filed under: uncultured bacterium
Lineage: Bacteria
Description: bacterial SSU rRNA
Rfam family: Bacterial small subunit ribosomal RNA
Source: RNAcentral
UAUUGGACAAUGGGGGCAACCCUGAUCCAGCCAUGCCGCGUGAGUGAUGAAGGCCUUCGGGUUGUAAAGCUCUUUUGGCGGGGACGAUGAUGACGGUACCCGCAGAAUAAGCCCCGGCUAACUUCGUGCCAGCAGCCGCGGUAAGACGAAGGGGGCUAGCGUUGUUCGGAAUUACUGGGCGUAAAGCGCGUGUAGGCGGUUUUCCAAGUUGGGUGUGAAAGCCUUGGGCUUAACCCAAGAAAUGCACUCAGUACUGGAAGACUAGAGGACCGGAGAGGAUAGUGGAAUUCCCAGUGUAGUGGUGAAAUACGUAGAGAUUGGGAAGAACACCAGUGGCGAAGGCGGCUAUCUGGACGGUUCUGACGCUAAGACGCGAAU